UACAGAGGGUGCGAGCGUUGUCCGGAAUCAUUGGGCGUAAAGCGCGUGUAGGCGGCCAGAAAAGUUGAGUGUGAAAGCCCUCGGCUUAACCGAGGAAGUGCGCCCAAAACUGUUUGGCUUGAGUACCGGAGAGGAUGGUGGAAUUCCCGGUGUAGAGGUGAAAUUCGUAGAUAUCGGGAGGAACACCAGUGGCGAGGGCGGCCAACUGGACGAGUACUGACGCUGAGACACGAAAGCGUGGGGAGCAAACAGG
RNAcentral lists this ribosomal RNA (253 nucleotides) under uncultured bacterium. Its description in RNAcentral is "partial 16S ribosomal RNA". It matches the Rfam family "Bacterial small subunit ribosomal RNA", at positions 524 to 776 of the family's 1533-position model. The record is from RNAcentral.